AGUGCCACCUUGCCUUCGAGCCUGCGAGCAUUCCAUAUAUAAAAGCUCAGCUUAAUGCAUGAUAGGUUUCUAUGAUGAUUUUAAGAACAAGCAUUGGUCAAGUUGCGCGAUGCCUUUACCUUCUCGCGACUGAAGAGAGGACGCCGGCGCUUCCCAUCGCGGGUCUCUUGGUGGAAGGAGUAGAGAUGAGAGAGACGAGGGUAGAGGCUUCUUCCACGUAGGUGCAGGCUCUGUUUUUGAUUGAGUAAUUCAAGUACCGGUCUUUUUAUGGACCCAGUUGUACCAGGAAGCCCUGCUUGAUUGUUGUUUACCUGACGCUGCUUUAACAUCUGGUUCCCAUCUCAUUCCUUCUCACUUCAAAAUCUCAAAUCGCCCUUCCCUACGAAAAAAAAAUCCCUAACCUCACUUGAUCAACGGCCCUCUAGCCAUCUUUUGAUCUCAGCCAACCACCAGACCUUGGCCAACGUCCCAACGCCCAUCUCGAUCCCCAGUUCAGUCAACCAUCAAGCGGCCACCUACCUCCCUCUACCCACCUCUGGCAAAAGUUUGCCGCUUGCGUUUACAAUCAUUUAUUAUGAUUUAAGGACAUAUAUUAAUGCACUUGACACUUCUUUAUAUGUUCUCGUUAUUGUAAAAUAGUUACUGUCAUAAACUUAGCUGAAUUUCUAUUUCUGGGCUCAUAUGAAAUGAAAUGUAAAAAGAAACCAAUUGCAUGUAGGUACUAACUGUGUGAUGGAGGACAUUAACUAUGUGCAGAAGGAUGAUCCAAAGCCAUCUCACAUGAGCAAUAAAUGAAUAUGUCCGGUUAGGUGCCAGCAUAGAGAUGACUUCGCAUAUGUAUGGGAGAGGGUCAAGAUAUCCUUGUCUCUAAUAAACGUCCGCUUCUGAUGAUUUCUGAAUCUUCUAAAUUA
RNAcentral lists this long non-coding RNA (911 nucleotides) under Phoenix dactylifera (date palm). RNAcentral's name for it is "long non-coding RNA (PDAC_LNC002951)". Lineage: Eukaryota; Viridiplantae; Streptophyta; Magnoliopsida; Arecales; Arecaceae. The record is from RNAcentral.